AGAGUUUGAUCCUGGCUCAGAGCGAACGCUGACGGUACCCUUAACACAUGCAAGUCGAACGAAAUUUUUGGUACUUGUACCAAGAGUUUAGUGGCAAACGGGUGAGUAACACGUGAGAACAUGCCCUUUAGAGUGGAAUAAUUCUUGGAAACAGGUUGUAAUACCACAUAGUCCGAAUGAAAUAUUCGGUAAAGAUUUUAUCGCUAAAGGAUUGGCUCGCGCUAUGUUUGUAGUUGGUGAGGUAAUAGCUUACCAAGCAAUGGCAUAUAGCUGGUCUGAGAGGACGAUCAGCCACACUGGGACUGAGAUACGGCCCAGACUUCUACGGAAGGCAGCAGUGAGGAAUUUUGGACAAUGGAGGAAACUCUGAUCCAGGGAUACCGUGUGAGUGAUGAAGGUCUUCGGAUUGUAAAGCUCUUUCAGUGGGGAAGAUAAUGACGUUACCCACGAAAGAAGCGCCGGCAAACUCUGUGCCAGCAGUCGCGGUAAUACAGAGGGCGCAAGCGUUGUUCGGAAUUAUUGGGCGUAAAGGGUGCGUAGGCUGUUUUAUAAGUCUAUUGUAAAAUAUCGAGGCUUAACCUCGAAAUCGCAAUAGAUACUGUAAGACUUGAGAUCGGGAGAGGUAAAUGGAAUUUCUAGUGUAGGAGUCAAAUCCGCAGAUAUUAGGAGGAACACCAGAGGCGAAGGCGAUUUACUGGAACGAUACUGACGCUGAGGCACGAAAGCGUGGGGAGCAAACAGGAUUAGAUACCCUGGUAGUCCACGCCCUAAACGAUGAGAGCUAGAUGUAGGAGAUUUUCUUCUGUGUCGCAGCUAACGCAAUAAGCUCUCCGCCUGAGUAGUAUAGUCGCAAGACCGAAAUUUAAAGGAAUUGACGGGGACCCGCACAAGCGGUGGAACAUGUGGUUUAAUUCGAAGGUACGCGCAAAACCUUACCAGCUCUUGACUUGUUAGUUAUAGACCUAAGUAAUUAGGUUGUCACGUUAUGGUGGACUUUCACAGGUGCUGCAUGUCCGUCGUCAGCUCGUGUCGUGAGAUGUUUGGUUAAGUCCUAUAACGAGCGCAACCCUCAUCCCCAGUUGCUAACAGGUAAUGCUGAGUUCUUUAGGGAGACUGAUAGUGAAAACUAUAGGAAGGUGAGGAUGAUGUCAGGUAACAUGGCCCUUAUGGGCUGGGCUACACAUGUGUUACAAUGGUAGUCACAAAGAGAAGCAAUUAGGCAACUAUGAGCAAAUCUUAAAAAACUAUCCUAGUUCAGAUUAAUCUCUGCAAUUCGGGAUUAUGAAGUUGAAAUCGCUAGUAAUCGUUGAUCAGAACGCAACGGUGAAUACGUUCUCGGGUCUUGUACACACCGCCCGUCCCACUAUGGGGUUGGUUUUUCUGGAAGUUAGUGCUCUAACCAGUAAUGGAGGAAGCUACCCAAAGAAAGGUUAAUAACUGGAGUUAAGUCGUAACAAGGUA
RNAcentral lists this ribosomal RNA (1461 nucleotides) under metagenome. RNAcentral's name for it is "bacterial SSU rRNA". It matches the Rfam family "Bacterial small subunit ribosomal RNA". The record is from RNAcentral.